AUACGUAGGGGGCGAGCGUUGUCCGGAAUGAUUGGGCGUAAAGGGCGCGUAGGCGGCCCGGUAAGUCUGGAGUGAAAGUCCUGUUUUUAAGAUGGGAAUUGCUUUGGAUACUGUCGGGCUUGAGUGCAGGAGAGGUAAGUGGAAUUCCCAGUGUAGCGGUGAAAUGCGUAGAGAUUGGGAGGAACACCAGUGGCGAAGGCGACUUACUGGACUGUAACUGACGCUGAGGCGCGAAAGUGUGGGGAGCAAACAGGAUUAGAUACCCUGGUAGUCCACACUGUAAACGAUGAAUGCUAGGUGUAGGGUGUAUCGACCCCUUCUGUGCCGCAGUCAACACAAUAAGCAUUCCGCCUGGGGAGUACGGCCGCAAGGUUGAAACUCAAAGGAAUUGACGGGG
This 397-nucleotide ribosomal RNA is filed under the name uncultured bacterium. RNAcentral's name for it is "partial 16S ribosomal RNA". It matches the Rfam family "Bacterial small subunit ribosomal RNA", at positions 523 to 918 of the family's 1533-position model. The record is from RNAcentral.